This 70-nucleotide transfer RNA is filed under the name Ictidomys tridecemlineatus (thirteen-lined ground squirrel). Its description in RNAcentral is "Spermophilus tridecemlineatus (thirteen-lined ground squirrel) tRNA". It matches the Rfam family "tRNA". Rfam says of the family: Transfer RNA (tRNA) molecules are approximately 80 nucleotides in length. Their secondary structure includes four short double-helical elements and three loops (D, anti-codon, and T loops). Lineage: Eukaryota; Metazoa; Chordata; Mammalia; Rodentia; Sciuridae. The record is from Rfam by way of RNAcentral.
GGGGUUGUGGCUCAGUUGGUAGAGCACUUGCCUAGCACGUGUGAGGCACUGGGUUCGAUUCUCAGCACCA